This 582-nucleotide unclassified non-coding RNA is filed under the name Hevea brasiliensis (rubber tree). Lineage: Eukaryota; Viridiplantae; Streptophyta; Magnoliopsida; Malpighiales; Euphorbiaceae. The record is from RNAcentral.
AGAUGUUUAUAGUUAUGGAAUUCUGUUGUUGGAGAUGGUAACAGCUAAGAAACCUACAGAAGAUAUUUUUGUAGGAGGUCUCAACCUUCACAAUUUUGCAAGGAUGGCAUUGCUUGAUCAUGUAUUGGAGAUUGUAGAUCCUAUUCUGUUGCAAGAAGAAGAAGAAAGAUUAAAUAGGAAUCAAAGUCCAACACAAACAAGAAAUGACUACAAAAUUGAAUGCUUAAUUUCGAUGAUCAAAGUUGGGGUAGCAUGCUCCAUGGAGCCGCCUCAAGAUAGAAUGGUCAUAAGUGACGCAGUCCACGAGUUGCAUUCAGUCAGAAACAAUUAUAUGCGAGCUAGAACAAGUCCCUCCGCACACGGGAGACCAUCAAGUUGAAAUUUGAAGUGAAGCAGCUAAAGAAGAAGAGUGUAUUGUUAAGUCUCUUUGGGAAUGUAAUUUGGUGGCUGAUUCCCUUGCCAGGGGAUUUCAAGAAGUGACGAGUUCGCGGCUUGGUUUUAACUCUGCAUUCCGGAUUUGCUUUGUUUUAUCUGUUGGUCGCCUUGUUUUCUUGUUUUGAUUGUACCUGGAAUACUUUGCUG